GACGAACGCUGGCGGCGUGCCUAAUACAUGCAAGUCGAGCGAAGUUUUUCUGGUGCUUGCACUAGAAAAACUUAGCGGCGAACGGGUGAGUAACACGUAAAGAACCUGCCUCAUAGACUGGGACAACUAUUGGAAACGAUAGCUAAUACCGGAUAACAGUAUUUCUCGCAUGAGAGAUAUUUAAAAGUUGGUUAUGCUAACACUAUGAGAUGGCUUUGCGGUGCAUUAGCUAGUUGGCGGGGUAAAGGCCCACCAAGGCGACGAUGCAUAGCCGACCUGAGAGGGUGAUCGGCCACACUGGGACUGAGACACGGCCCAGACUCCUACGGGAGGCAGCAGUAGGGAAUCUUCCGCAAUGGGCGAAAGCCUGACGGAGCAACGCCGCGUGAGUGAAGAAGGAUUUCGGUUCGUAAAGCUCUGUUGUUAGGGAAGAAUGGAUAUGUAGUAACUAUACAUGUAAGAGACGGUACCUAACCAGAAAGCCACGGCUAACUACGUG
RNAcentral lists this ribosomal RNA (499 nucleotides) under uncultured bacterium. RNAcentral's name for it is "partial 16S ribosomal RNA". It matches the Rfam family "Bacterial small subunit ribosomal RNA", at positions 28 to 507 of the family's 1533-position model. The record is from RNAcentral.